RNAcentral lists this unclassified non-coding RNA (224 nucleotides) under plant metagenome. RNAcentral describes it as "partial contains small subunit ribosomal RNA and internal transcribed spacer 1". The stretch from base 1 to 46 matches the Rfam family "Eukaryotic small subunit ribosomal RNA", at positions 1786 to 1831 of the family's 1831-position model. The record is from RNAcentral.
AAGUCGUAACAAGGUCUCCGUAGGUGAGCCUGCGGAGGGAUCAUUACAGAGUUCAUGCCCUAACGGGUAGAUCUCCCACCCUAUGUUAUUAUUACUUUUGUUGCUUUGGCGGGCCGUCAGGCUUCACGCCCCGGCUAACCGGCUUCACGCUGGGUAAGCGCCCGCCAGAGAACCCCAAACCCCUGAAUGUUAGUGUCGUCUGAGUACUAUAUAAUAGUUAAAAA